RNAcentral lists this ribosomal RNA (279 nucleotides) under uncultured bacterium. RNAcentral's name for it is "partial 16S ribosomal RNA". It matches the Rfam family "Bacterial small subunit ribosomal RNA", at positions 524 to 798 of the family's 1533-position model. The record is from RNAcentral.
UACGUAGGGUGCAAGCGUUAAUCGGAAUUACUGGGCGUAAAGCGUGCGCAGGCGGUUUUGUAAGUCUGUCGUGAAAUCCCCGGGCUCAACCCUGGGAAUUGCGAUGGAGACUGCAAGGCUAGAAUCUGGCAGAGGGGGGUAGAAUUCCACGUGUAGCAGUGAAAUGCGUAGAGAUGUGGAGGAACACCGAUGGCGAAGGCAGCCCCUGGGUCAAGAUUGACGCUCAUGCACGAAAGGCGUGGGGAGCAAACAAGGAUUAGAGUACCCUAUGAGUACCAG